AGAGUUUGAUCCUGGCUCAGAUUGAACGCUGGCGGCAUGCCUUACACAUGCAAGUCGAACGGCAGCACGGGAGCAAUCCUGGUGGCGAGUGGCGAACGGGUGAGUAAUAUAUCGGAACGUGCCCAGUCGUGGGGGAUAACGCAGCGAAAGCUGUGCUAAUACCGCAUACGAUCUCUGGAUGAAAGCGGGGGACUCAGCAAUGAGCCUCGCGCGAUUGGAGCGGCCGAUAUCAGAUUAGCUAGUUGGUGGGGUAAAAGCCCACCAAGGCGACGAUCUGUAGCUGGUCUGAGAGGACGACCAGCCACACUGGAACUGAGACACGGUCCAGACUCCUACGGGAGGCAGCAGUGGGGAAUUUUGGACAAUGGGCGCAAGCCUGAUCCAGCAAUGCCGCGUGCAGGAUGAAGGCCUUCGGGUUGUAAACUGCUUUUGUACGGAACGAAACGGUUCACCUUAAUACAGUGGGCUAAUGACGGUACCGUAAGAAUAAGCACCGGCUAACUACGUGCCAGCAGCCGCGGUAAUACGUAGGGUGCGAGCGUUAAUCGGAAUUACUGGGCGUAAAGCGUGCGCAGGCGGUGAUGUAAGACAGAUGUGAAAUCCCCGGGCUCAACCCUGGGACCUGCAUUUGUGACUGCAUCGCUAGAGUACGGUAGAGGGGGAUGGAAUUCCGCGUGUAGCAGUGAAAUGCGUAGAUAUGCGGAGGAACACCGAUGGCGAAGGCAAUCCCCUGGACCUGUACUGACGCUCAUGCACGAAAGCGUGGGGAGCAAACAGGAUUAGAUACCCUGGUAGUCCAC
RNAcentral lists this ribosomal RNA (800 nucleotides) under uncultured bacterium. Its description in RNAcentral is "bacterial SSU rRNA". It matches the Rfam family "Bacterial small subunit ribosomal RNA", at positions 8 to 798 of the family's 1533-position model. The record is from RNAcentral.